AACUUUCAGCAACGGAUCUCUUGGCUCUCGCAUCGAUGAAGAACGCAGCGAAAUGCGAUAAGUAAUGUGAAUUGCAGAAUUCAGUGAAUCAUCGAAUCUUUGAACGCACCUUGCACUCCUUGGUAUUCCGAGGAGUAUGCCUGUUUGAGUGUC
Molecule: ribosomal RNA, 153 nt
Filed under: uncultured Cortinarius
Lineage: Eukaryota; Fungi; Basidiomycota; Agaricomycetes; Agaricales; Cortinariaceae
Description: 5.8S ribosomal RNA
Rfam family: 5.8S ribosomal RNA
About the family: 5.8S ribosomal RNA (5.8S rRNA) is a component of the large subunit of the eukaryotic ribosome. It is transcribed by RNA polymerase I as part of the 45S precursor that also contains 18S and 28S rRNA.
Source: RNAcentral